GUUCCUGUAGCUUAAACUUAAAGCAUAACACUGAAGAUGUUAAGACGGCCACCACACACCCAGGGACA
This 68-nucleotide transfer RNA is filed under the name Podilymbus podiceps. Its description in RNAcentral is "tRNA-Phe". It matches the Rfam family "tRNA". Rfam says of the family: Transfer RNA (tRNA) molecules are approximately 80 nucleotides in length. Lineage: Eukaryota; Metazoa; Chordata; Aves; Podicipediformes; Podicipedidae. The record is from RNAcentral.